Molecule: ribosomal RNA, 253 nt
Filed under: uncultured bacterium
Lineage: Bacteria
Description: partial 16S ribosomal RNA
Rfam family: Bacterial small subunit ribosomal RNA
Source: RNAcentral
UACAGAGGGGGCAAGCGUUGCUCGGAAUCACUGGGCGUAAAGCGCACGUAGGCGGCUUUUUAAGUCAGGGGUGAAAUCCUGGAGCUCAACUCCAGAACUGCCUUUGAUACUGAGGAUCUUGAGUACGGGAGAGGUGAGUGGAACUGCGAGUGUAGAGGUGAAAUUCGUAGAUAUUCGCAAGAACACCAGUGGCGAAGGCGGCUCACUGGCCCGUAACUGACGCUGAGGCACGAAAGCGUGGGGAGCAAACAGG